This 1418-nucleotide long non-coding RNA is filed under the name Homo sapiens (human). Its description in RNAcentral is "HSALNT0041804". Lineage: Eukaryota; Metazoa; Chordata; Mammalia; Primates; Hominidae. The record is from RNAcentral.
CUGCUGUGCUAGCAAUCAGUGAGACUCCCUGGGCAUAGGACCCUCCGAGCCAGGUGGGGGUUAUAAUCUCGUGGUGCGCCGUUUUUUAAGCCCGUCGGAAAAGCGCAGUAUUCCGGUUGGAGUGACCCGAUUUCCAGUGAGAUGAACCCGGUACCUCAGAUGGAAAUGCAGAAAUCACCCGUCUUCUGCGUCGCUCAAGCUGGGAGCUGUAGACCGGAGCUGUUCCUACUCGGCCAUCUUGGCUCCUCCCCGCCAAGAAUAUGACUGCAUUUGGAAAUAGGGACUUUAAAGAGGUGAUUAAGUUACAAUGAGGCCACUAGAGAAGACAAUUAUCCAUUUGGACUGAUGUGCUUAGAAGAAGAGCAUAUUGGUAAAAAGAGACACCAGAGGUACAACAGCACAGAGAAAGACCAUGUGAGGACAUAGUGAGAAGAUGGCCAUCCCAUCUGCAAGCCAAGGACAGAGGCCUCAGGAGAAACCAACCCUGAUGACACCUUGAUCUUGGACUUCACAGCCUCCAGAACUAACAUACUCAAGUGUCUCAGCUCAACAUUUGGAGAUGAGCCAUCCUCCUCUUAUUGUAAGAAAAGCUUGAAGGAGUAUUUUCACAGCGAUGGAACUGGAAGUUAAGGCAACUUCUAUCAGCAUCAAGAAAAGAAAAGAAGUAUUCACCACUUACGAAACAACAUCUCUCUUCUCAUCAAUAGUUUGAUUUACAGCAUCUACUGCAGAAGACCUCAAUAAUGCAUAAGAACAUCUGGAAGUACGGUAAUUUCAGCUAUCAGAGAUAAGAAUUGACACAGAACAGAACUGAAAGAGAACCUUUGAAACACCCUUUAGAUUAAGAGCCUGGCUUGUAAUCUGUAACAACAAACGGUAUUACAAUGAGAAAAAUAAAUGUCCUGUCAAGGCAUUCCUUCAAUGACAUCUUGUCACACAAGUCUAUAUCCAAGGCUGCCCACAAAGUGGAAAAAUGGGGAAAAUGUUAUUCUCCAGUCCCUGCAGUACAGGACCAAAAACUGAAGUGGAUGUCACUGUCUUCUGUCCUAAGAAAAAAGAGGAUAAACUGUAGUCCCAGCCACUCCGGAGGCUGAGGCAGGAGAAUGGCAUGAACCCGGGAGGCGGAGCUUGUAAUGAGUCGAGAUGGCGCCACUGCACUCCAGCCUGGGCGACAGAGCAAGACUCCAUCUAAAAAAAAAAAAAAAAAAAAAAAAAAAAGAGGAUAAAAUUUAGGACUCACUAUACGGACGGAAAUUGAAGGGAAAAAUCUCUGGAAGGUGAAGCCAUAAAAGCUGCAUAUAAACACCACAUACAUCCUUGUCUGAUGUCUAAUCUACAUAUGCAUCAUGAUUUUAAGGCGAAUGCCAUAGCUGGAAGACUGAAACAACUGAGCAGAGGUUCCAACUUUUUUCAAUUAG